Molecule: ribosomal RNA, 492 nt
Filed under: uncultured bacterium
Lineage: Bacteria
Description: partial 16S ribosomal RNA
Rfam family: Bacterial small subunit ribosomal RNA
Source: RNAcentral
AGUGAACGCUGGCGGUAGGCCUAACACAUGCAAGUCGAACGGCAGCACAGUAAGAGCUUGCUCUUACGGGUGGCGAGUGGCGGACGGGUGAGGAAUACAUCGGAAUCUACUUUUUCGUGGGGGAUAACGUAGGGAAACUUACGCUAAUACCGCAUACUACCUACGGGUGAAAGCAGGGGAUCUUCGGACCUUGCGCGAUUGAAUGAGCCGAUGUCGGAUUAGCUAGUUGGCGGGGUAAAGGCCCACCAAGGCGACGAUCCGUAGCUGGUCUGAGAGGAUGAUCGGCCACACUGGAACUGAGACACGGUCCAGACUCCUACGGGAGGCAGCAGUGGGGAAUAUUGGACAAUGGGCGCAAGCCUGAUCCAGCCAUACCGCGUGGGUGAAGAAGGCCUUCGGAUUGUAAAGCCCUUUUGUUGGGAAAGAAAAGAAGCAGGUUAAUACCCCGCUGUUCUGACGGUACCCAAAGAGUAAGCACCGGCUAACUUCGUG